UGGCAACCAUUUUACUAAAUGUCGCUGGAGAACUACAUUGUUUGACGGAAGAAUGAUUAUUUGUUAACUAUAAAUUAUUGCUUUUUUGUUGCUGUGUUUUUCUUUUAUGAAACCUUGCCAGGUUUAUGUAGUAACCGUUUUAUAAAAGCAAUAAGCCCCACGAGGCCAUGGUUUACAGUGAUUUUAGAACAGCUGAGGGGUGUUGUUAGGCACAGCCAUGCCCUCUUGGGGCUUAUUGCUUUACUGUUUGAGAUUCAGUUUGUUUAUCAGUGACAUAAUCUCUUUACACAUGUACAGGACAGUAAGUUGUCUCCAUUGGGAUUUAUAUUUGAUAUGCCUUGUGACCUUUGUAAUUCCACUUACCAAAGAGCUUGUAAAUUAUAUGUAAAUAUGACUUUCUGCACAAGUGUGAUUUUGCCACUCACCAGACCCAUCCUUCAUCAGUCCUCCAUUGAAAUAUAGGCGGGAGAAGACUUUGACUUGUGCCAGAAAAUGACCUUUGCCUCGGAAAAGUCAUUGGUAACCCAAUUAAAAGGAAAUGUCACGCUGGUAAUUGCGUCUCACAAUGUGAAUCAUCCGUGCGGGGUGGCUCGCACUGAAUCCAGGGACAGGCUGAUAUGUGGCAUUGAAGUCUCACCGCUUCUAUGUCAUUCCCUGACCUUCUCUUGCACUCUCUCUAGCCACCCUAUUCAGAUUUUUUUCCCCACUUUGAAGCUUCUAUCCAUCUAUCAUUCUGGGGGAUUUUGACAAACUAUCCUUAACAGCACACCUCUCAACUCUGCAGCAAUAUGUCGACUGUCCAACUCGCUCAUCACACAUCCUGGAUCUCUGUUAUGGCAAUAUUGAGGAUGCAUAUAAGGCAAUAUGCAGACCUCUGACUGGCAAAUCAGACCAGAACGUCAUCCACUUAUUGCCAAAGUACAGACGAAUUCAAGUCUGGGAUAAAGCUGUAAAGACAGGAGCAACGCCAUCUGUGCCAGCAUACCCAGAAACCCCACAAUCCAGCUGUCUGAGGAGGAGGUUGGCAUCUGCCGCUCUCCGAUUAAGCCCCAUAAAGCACUUGAACCUGAUGGCCUACAUGGACAUACUCCAUCCAGCUAAGGAGCUCUGUGAGGAUUUGCACUGAAAGAUUGACACAGUGGAUGAUGAGCACUACGAUACUGAGGUGAAGGUGGCCAAGUAUAAGAAAAAGGGGCUGUCCAAGCAUCACCCUCCAUUCAUCCGUUCAUUCUUUACUGAUGCAUGAAAGAAGGGGGAGGUGGAAGGAAUGAAGUGCAUUGGCAGGAAGAUCACGCUUCACCCCACUGGAUAAAUAAAGUUAACUGCCCCACAGACAAUAUACAAUAUGUGUCUAAUAAUAAAAUCCAAGCAAGACUUUGUAUGGUUAUAUUCCAAUUAUAUUCUUAUCCAGAGCAACAGUGAGUGAGCUGGUAGUGUUUCAGUGGAUUAUUGAAACAUAUAUGUUGACCAGUAUGAACAGUAAGUAUAUAUAAAAUACCUAUAACAAAAAUACUGUGUCCCAAUCCCCCAUAGUCUUGCUCAUGUCAUAUUGCCUUUUUUUCAUACUGAACAGAUGGCCUUGUUGUGAUUGGACACAGAUGGGGUUUCCGUGGUAAUAUCAAACAUCCCACACAAUGUUAUAUUUGCCCCGGCUUUGACUCCCAAGCAGAAAUGAUUUCAAAGGUUUAUUGUCUGCUGCUGUCUUAUGUGUCACUGUGCUGAAACAAGCAAGAAAUAAGCCAUGAGAACCCCCCCUAUUUUGCCAUAAAUUGAUAAUAAUACAGUCAAAAUGGCUUAAGAUGAAGUG
Molecule: long non-coding RNA, 1807 nt
Organism: Thunnus maccoyii (southern bluefin tuna)
Lineage: Eukaryota; Metazoa; Chordata; Actinopteri; Scombriformes; Scombridae
Exons: 5
Source: RefSeq, a predicted model, not a curated record